GAUCCUGGCUCAGGACGAACGCUGGCGGCGUGCCUAACACAUGCAAGUCGAACGGAACUUUUUAAAAGAUUUCUUCGGAAUGAAUUUGAUUAAGUUUAGUGGCGGACGGGUGAGUAACGCGUGAGUAACCUGCCUCUGAGAGGGGAAUAACAUUCUGAAAAGAAUGCUAAUACCGCAUAACAUAUAUUUAUCGCAUGGUAGAUAUAUCAAAGAUUUAUCGCUUAGAGAUGGACUCGCGUCCGAUUAG
This 247-nucleotide ribosomal RNA is filed under the name uncultured bacterium. RNAcentral describes it as "partial 16S ribosomal RNA". It matches the Rfam family "Bacterial small subunit ribosomal RNA", at positions 15 to 244 of the family's 1533-position model. The record is from RNAcentral.